AUUGAACGCUGGCGGCAUGCCUUACACAUGCAAGUCGAACGGUAACAGGUUAAGCUGAGAGUGGCGAACGGGUGAGUAAUAUAUCGGAACGUGCCCAGUCGUGGGGGAUAACGUAGCGAAAGUUACGCUAAUACCGCAUACGAUCUACGGAUGAAAGCGGGGGAUCGCAAGACCUCGCGCGAUUGGAGCGGCCGAUAUCAGAUUAGGUAGUUGGUGGGGUAAAGGCUCACCAAGCCAACGAUCUGUAGCUGGUCUGAGAGGACGACCAGCCACACUGGAACUGAGACACGGUCCAGACUCCUACGGGAGGCAGCAGUGGGGAAUUUUGGACAAUGGACGCAAGUCUGAUCCAGCCAUUCCGCGUGCAGGAUGAAGGCCCUCGGGUUGUAAACUGCUUUUGUACGGAACGAAAAGGUUUCCAUUAAUACUGGGAGCUCAUGACGGUACCGUAAGAAUAAGCAUCGGCUAACUACGUGCCAGCAGCCGCGGUAA
RNAcentral lists this ribosomal RNA (492 nucleotides) under uncultured bacterium. RNAcentral describes it as "partial 16S ribosomal RNA". It matches the Rfam family "Bacterial small subunit ribosomal RNA", at positions 30 to 523 of the family's 1533-position model. The record is from RNAcentral.